This is a long non-coding RNA of Lactuca sativa (garden lettuce), 1218 nucleotides long. RefSeq lists it as uncharacterized. Lineage: Eukaryota; Viridiplantae; Streptophyta; Magnoliopsida; Asterales; Asteraceae. The record is from RefSeq and is a predicted model, not a curated record.
UUAUGCCCGUGUUCGUUUUAUGAUCGGGCAAAAAUAGAGGCACAAAUUCGAACACAAGGCAGAUGCGAAGGAAGGCACUGAGGCAAUGAGGAAUCGGAAGCAAAUUAGUUGGGAGGGAAAAGACUCGAUCCUCAUCUGAUCGGGGAAAGGAAUCGGCAUCGAUUUCGAUUGAUUAAGAAGACGACCGAAUGGAAUCGUCAUAGAAACGAGGGAGCGGAAAGCUGGACACGAAAGAAGCAGCGGGGGAAGAGGCGUACAAUGGUAGCAGCGCUUCGUUGGUUGAUUAAUCGCGAAGACAGACCGCCGUCUCUGGGGUUCGACGAGGCCGAAGAGGCGAAGCAGCCAAGCUGCUGGGGUCUUCUGUUGUUUGAUUCGGUUACAGCAGCGGUACACGAAAAGGGAAAAUACGAGGUUUCGGUGGUAUUGAUGUGGAAACACGAAGUGGGAGAAGGCGAGGGCAGAGGUCUCGGUCUUUGGCCGGUCGCGAAGUAGAACGAAAGCGGAAUCGUAACGCUCUCUUUGAAGGGGCAAGACAAGCUGCGAUAUCUCGGUUGGGGAUGGCUUGGCAGCAAGGAUCGACGGAAGGAAGAAAAGGUUCGACGAUAGAUUUUUUUGGUGCUUGGAGCUAAAACGCAGAAGGGAAUGAAAGAAAAGUAUCAUUAAGGCUUUACAAGAACACCUCCAAUGGAGGCGUUAUUGACUGGAAUGAAGAAGAAGAAUAAAGGAAAUGGGUGCUGUGUUUUUGGUGAUUUAUUGACUGCUCUACUUGAGGAAAGAAACACGUGUCCUUUGAGUUUGAGUGUUUACUUUUGCAUUGUACAGGUUUUAUUUUGAGUGUAGUUUUGAUUGAGUGUGAUAUUGGGUUGAAGAAUAUUUUGCACGUAAUCAAGUUCAGAUGUGCAGGGACAAGUGAUGUUGGUGACUUGUGUUUCUGUUGACAACUCACAAUGAGAAAUAGCUUCUAACAAGUUUGUUUUAACCAGUUUGUUUUGGGUGUAUUUUUGGUUAAAAUGGUUUGUUUUGUGUGUGUCUUUUUAUAAAAUAAGGGUUGUAUAAUAAUUUGUAUAGUUUGUGUUGUAAAUAGUCUCAUUUUUGUAUUUAAUGUGUGUAUUGAUUUAAUUAAGUAUGUAUUUAGCAAUAUUAUAACUUGUAUUUGUAAUAGUCUCAUUUUUGUAUGAAUUUUGUGUAUUUAUUUAAUUAAGUACGAAUUUGUGUAUA